AGAAUGAACGCUGGCGGCAUGCCUAACACAUGCAAGUCGAACGAAGGCUUCGGCCUUAGUGGCGCACGGGUGCGUAACGCGUGGGAAUCUGCCCUUGGGUUCGGAAUAACAGCUAGAAAUGGCUGCUAAUACCGGAUGAUGACGUAAGUCCAAAGAUUUAUCGCCCAGGGAUGAGCCCGCGUAGGAUUAGCUAGUUGGUGGGGUAAAGGCUCACCAAGGCGACGAUCCUUAGCUGGUCUGAGAGGAUGAUCAGCCACACUGGGACUGAGACACGGCCCAGACUCCUACGGGAGGCAGCAGUGGGGAAUAUUGGACAAUGGGCGCAAGCCUGAUCCAGCAAUGCCGCGUGAGUGAUGAAGGCCUUAGGGUUGUAAAGCUCUUUACCCGGGAUGAUAAUGACAGUACCGGGAGAAUAAGCUCCGGCUAACUCCGUGCCAGCAGCCGC
RNAcentral lists this ribosomal RNA (445 nucleotides) under uncultured bacterium. Its description in RNAcentral is "SSU rRNA". It matches the Rfam family "Bacterial small subunit ribosomal RNA", at positions 26 to 518 of the family's 1533-position model. The record is from RNAcentral.